This is a long non-coding RNA of Telopea speciosissima, 338 nucleotides long. RefSeq lists it as uncharacterized. The record is from RefSeq and is a predicted model, not a curated record. The transcript is spliced from 4 exons. NCBI's taxonomy places the organism in Eukaryota, Viridiplantae, Streptophyta, Magnoliopsida, Proteales, Proteaceae.
GAAUCGAAGAAUAUAUUGAACCGCUCAAGUUGUAUUUGCAGAUGACCAGAUUUACCACGAGUACAGGGAGCAGACGGAGGGUGACAGUAAGAUUCGCUCUGCAGAUCAGGCUGGAAGAAAAGACGCUGUUCCAGUCCGUGGAGACUAGGUACUCAGUUCAUGGUGCAGCGUUCUAUUGGUCCAGAUGCAGGGAAGUUACUUCUUUUUGUUGAUGCUAUGAUUGGAUUGACAGAAUGUUCAUACUCAUUGGUUCUUUUUUUUGGUGUUUAUGUUGCCAUAAACUAAAUUCUAGUAAAUGCUAUUUAUUAAACUGCAUCGGUUGAUGUAGAUUUGUUUCA